This 74-nucleotide transfer RNA is filed under the name bacterium. Its description in RNAcentral is "tRNA-Gln". It matches the Rfam family "tRNA". From Rfam's summary of the family: Transfer RNA (tRNA) molecules are approximately 80 nucleotides in length. Their secondary structure includes four short double-helical elements and three loops (D, anti-codon, and T loops). Further hydrogen bonds mediate the characteristic L-shaped molecular structure. tRNAs have two regions of fundamental functional importance: the anti-codon, which is responsible for specific mRNA codon recognition, and the 3' end, to which the tRNAs corresponding amino acid is attached (by aminoacyl-tRNA synthetases). tRNAs cope with the degeneracy of the genetic code in two manners: having more than one tRNA (with a specific anti-codon) for a particular amino acid; and 'wobble' base-pairing, i.e. permitting non-standard base-pairing at the 3rd anti-codon position. RNAcentral also lists the same sequence under 2 other names. The record is from RNAcentral.
UGGGGAGUCGUCCAGUGGUAGGACAGCGGACUUUGGAUCCGCCGACGGUGGUUCGAGCCCAUCCUCCCCAGCCA